RNAcentral lists this ribosomal RNA (424 nucleotides) under uncultured Roseburia sp. RNAcentral's name for it is "bacterial SSU rRNA". It matches the Rfam family "Bacterial small subunit ribosomal RNA", at positions 356 to 794 of the family's 1533-position model. Lineage: Bacteria; Bacillati; Bacillota; Clostridia; Lachnospirales; Lachnospiraceae. The record is from RNAcentral.
UGGGAAUAUUGCACAAUGGGGGAAACCCGUAGAUGCAGCGACGCCGCGUGAACGAAGAAGUAUUUCGGUAUGUAAAGUUCUAUCAGCAGGGAAGAUAAUGACGGUACCUGACUAAGAAGCACCGGCUAAAUACGUGCCAGCAGCCGCGGUAAUACGUAUGGUGCAAGCGUUAUCCGGAUUUACUGGGUGUAAAGGGAGCGCAGGCGGUGCGGCAAGUCUGAUGUGAAAGCCCGGGGCUCAACCCCGGUACUGCAUUGGAAACUGUCGUACUAGAGUGUCGGAGGGGUAAGUGGAAUUCGUCGUGUAGCGGUGAAAUGCUUAGAUAUGACGAAGAACUCCGAUUGCGAAGGCAGCCUGCUGUAGCGCAAACUGACGCUGAAGCUCGAAAGCGUGGGUAUCGAACAGGAUUAGAUACCCUGGUAGU